UCAGACGAUGCGUCAUGCAUAUCAAUAAGCGGAGGAAAAGAAACUAACAAGGAUUCCCCUAGUAACGGCGAGUGAAGCGGGAAGAGCUCAAAUUUGAAAUCUUAAAGGGUUUCCCUUUACGAAUUGUAGUUUAAAGAAGUGUUUUCUGUUGAGGUUUUGGUAAAAGUUCUUUGGAAUAGGACAUCAUAGAGGGUGAGAAUCCCGUAUUUGACCUUUACUUUCAACUUUGUGAUACACUUUCAAAGAGUCGGAUUGUUUGGGAAUGCAGUCCAAAAUGGGUGGUAAAUUUCAUCUAAAGCUAAAUAUUGGCGAGAGACCGAUAGCGAACAAGUACCGUGAGGGAAAGAUGAAAAGAACUUUGAAAAGAGAGUUAAACAGUACGUGAAAUUGUCAAAAGGGAAGCGUUUGACACCAGUGUUGUUUCUUCUGAAAAUCAAUUAAAGAACUGUUUAUGCUAAGUUGUUUAGACUUUAUCAGCUAACUGUUUAGUUUUGAGCUUUUCUUUAAUGCACUUUUCAGUUAACAAGUCAACAUCAAUUUCUUUUGCUGUAAAAAAGCUUGAGGAAGGUGGCUUGAGAUUCGUCUUAAGUGUUUAUAGCCUCUUGCCUAUGCAGUCGGAGAGAUUGAGGUCUGCAGCGUAGAUCCUUCGGGGCUAAAUGCAUUUGUGCUAAGUUAUAGCAUUUUAUAGACAACUUGUUGACUAUGAUUUGUCUUGUAGCUUACUCGCUUAUGUUAUUUUACCUACGCUUAGGAUGUUGAGCGCAUGUCUCUCUCU
RNAcentral lists this ribosomal RNA (775 nucleotides) under uncultured Neocallimastigales. RNAcentral describes it as "partial large subunit ribosomal RNA". It matches the Rfam family "Eukaryotic large subunit ribosomal RNA", at positions 18 to 616 of the family's 3401-position model. Lineage: Eukaryota; Fungi; Neocallimastigomycota; Neocallimastigomycetes; Neocallimastigales. The record is from RNAcentral.